UGCAUCUUUUUGGGUAUUCUCGAAUUUUA
This 29-nucleotide non-coding RNA is filed under the name Rattus norvegicus (Norway rat). The record is from RNAcentral. Lineage: Eukaryota; Metazoa; Chordata; Mammalia; Rodentia; Muridae.